AACGAACGCUGGCGGCAGGCUUAACACAUGCAAGUCGAGCGCCCCGCAAGGGGAGCGGCAGACGGGUGAGUAACACGUGGGAACGUACCCUUUACUACGGAAUAACGCAGGGAAACUUGUGCUAAUACCGUAUGUGCCCUUUGGGGGAAAGAUUUAUCGGUAAAGGAUUAGCCCGCGUAGGAUUAGCUAGUUGGUGAGGUAAAGGUUCACCAAGGCGACGAUCCUUAGCUGGUCUGAGAGGAUGAUCAGCCACACUGGGACUGAGACACGGCCCAGACUCCUACGGGAGGCAGCAGUGGGGAAUAUUGGACAAUGGGGGCAACCCUGAUCCAGCCAUGCCGCGUGAGUGAUGAAGGCCUUAGGGUUGUAAAGCUCUUUUAGCAGGGAAGAUAAUGACGGUACCUGCAGAAAAAGCCCCGGCUAACUUCGUGCCAGCCGCCGCCGUAA
Molecule: ribosomal RNA, 447 nt
Filed under: uncultured bacterium
Lineage: Bacteria
Description: partial 16S ribosomal RNA
Rfam family: Bacterial small subunit ribosomal RNA
Source: RNAcentral